AGGAAAAGAAACUAACAAGGAUUCCCCUAGUAACGGCGAGUGAAGCGGGAAGAGCUCAAAUUUGAAAUCUGGUAGCCUUCGGUUGCCCGAGUUGUAAUCUAGAGAAGUGUUUUCCGCGUUGGCCCAUGUACAAGUCCCUUGGAACAGGGCGUCAUAGAGGGUGAGAAUCCCGUCCUUGACAUGGACCCCCAAUGCUUUGUGAUACACUUUCAACGAGUCGAGUUGUUUGGGAAUGCAGCUCAAAAUGGGUGGUGAAUUCCAUCUAAAGCUAAAUAUUGGCGAGAGACCGAUAGCGAACAAGUACCGUGAGGGAAAGAUGAAAAGCACUUUGGAAAGAGAGUUAAACAGUACGUGAAAUUGUUGAAAGGGAAACGAUUGAAGUCAGUCAUGCUCUUUGGAUUAAGCCGUUCUGCGGUGUAUUUCAUUGAGCGGGGUCAACAUCAGUUUUGAUCGCUGGAAAAGGGCAGGAGGAAGGUAGCACUCUCGGGUGAACUUAUAGCCUCUUGUCGUAUACAGUGAUUGGGACUGAGGAACGCAGCAUGCCUUUUGGCCGGGAUUCGUCCACGUACAUGCUUAGGAUGUUGACAUAAUGGCUUUAAACGACCCGUCUUGA
This 613-nucleotide ribosomal RNA is filed under the name Naganishia vaughanmartiniae. RNAcentral describes it as "eukaryotic LSU rRNA". It matches the Rfam family "Eukaryotic large subunit ribosomal RNA", at positions 54 to 657 of the family's 3401-position model. The record is from RNAcentral. Lineage: Eukaryota; Fungi; Basidiomycota; Tremellomycetes; Filobasidiales; Filobasidiaceae.